Molecule: long non-coding RNA, 2121 nt
Filed under: Taeniopygia guttata (zebra finch)
Lineage: Eukaryota; Metazoa; Chordata; Aves; Passeriformes; Estrildidae
Description: lncRNA (ENSTGUG00000028176.1)
Source: RNAcentral
CUUAGCUUUUUAUCUCUCUGUGUAUUUUUUUAUUAUUUAAUUUACUCUGUUCAUCUUCUGCUUAUAUGGUACAGUGGCAUAACAAAACCUGUUUUUCUAUCUUUAAAUGCUUAAGGAAGAAAGUAUGAAAUAUGAUUCUUACAAUAGAUUUUUCAGGCUUCUUUUUUAUGGGUGUGAGAAGAAUUCUUUGUGACAGCAGAUUUAGGGAAGAGGAAAGAGGCAGGAAAAGGGAUAAGUGCUGAUGAGAUUGAUUGUUGCUACUGAACAGUAAAAAAUCUGGGCUUGGGGAUGGCAGAGAGAAGCAGUGUUCUGGACAAACCUCGAAUAUUGCUCUGUAAAGCAGAAAACCUAAAUUAAUCCUGUGUUUGAUUUUAGAUUUGUGGCUUGUAAAGACUAAAAGUACAAUUUUACAUUUUUUCCUUUCCGUAUAUGACAAGCUGAAGCUUAAGUAUUCCCUCUUAUGCCUUUAAAUAAUUCAGGCUUGUCUCUGAGGGGAAUACAGCGGGUGUGCCAUGGUCCCUCUGCUCGCCAUGGCGAUGCUCUCCGGAGCACUGUGAGCUGCCAGGACUGCAGUGCCCAGGCCGUGCCACCCUGCCAGGAGCAGGGCUGUGUCUGUGGGAGGGAGCCCGGAGCACUGUGAGCUGCCAGGACUGCAGUGCCCAGGCCGUGCCACCCUGCCAGGAGCAGGGCUGUGUCUGUGGGAGGGAGCGGGGUGCGGAGCGCCAUGAGGGGAGCGCAGGCCGCGCACCGGGCCGGGCACUGGGCCAGGGCUCUGUGGGAGCUGCGCUGACACUGGGCCCUGUGUGCCCUCCAGGCCCUCUCCAGGGACAGCCAAUGUCUGGCACUGCUGCGUAAUUGCAUCAAUUGCACGCCGAGUACCUGCGGCAGCUGCUUUGCAGGUCCCCUGCUGUGCGAAUCGCCCUUCACAGAGGCAGAUCUUCCUGUCAGCGACUGACAAGAGGUGCCAGGAGCAGGCUACGAGACUUUUGAAACCUGAACUGUGUUUACAACAGCCUAAACAAGGAGAAAAUAUUCUUAGUACUAAACAGCUCUUGUUUUUCUUCUCCAAAGAAAUAAAGAUGCCUUUCAUAUUUUCUGAGACUGACAAUGUUGAAGAGGCUAAGAUACAGGAUAAAUUGAAGGAAAGAAGGAAGAGACUUGCUGUACCUACCAUGUUCUUUAGGGAAAGUUAUGGGAUUUUUAGGUGGGACUGGGAAUGCACCAGACAGUCCUCUCUCCUCAAUGUACAGUUGAAGGAAAAGGGUCUGGAGGGGUUUAGAAACUUGGUUUAGUUACUGAACCAUCUUAAAGAGGUUUAAAAUCAGCCCUAAGUGAAAGCACUUUGCAGAAGAAGGUGUAGCUCUCAGGCAAAACAACACUUGAAUCAAAUGCAGAAUAAAUAGCCUGAGUAAAGGACACAGAAUUUGGUCCACUGUGAUCAUUUGAUCUGAGUGGCUUAAGGCUUUGCAUGCUUCAUACUUGCAAACCAGCUGUGAAAUGCAGGAAAUACAAGUAGCCGUGGUCUGACAUUUCCCCAUCUGUUCCCAAUAUUUAAUAAUUUGCUCUCUUCUCUGAGCAUAUUAAGUUUAUUUAUAAAUUUUUAAAAUGUGUUUUAUUUUAUAUAAUGAGCUUAAAGCUAUAAUGGCCUUUUUGCUCCAAAGGGCUCAAAGCACUCUCCUUUGCCAGAUGGAGGGUAUUAAUUUUUCUGGAGGAUUUUGUGUAUAAGGUACAGAUGGACAAGACACAGUUUUAGCACACCAGGCUUUUGCCUUGUUGUUCUGUGUGUGUUUCUAUUCUCUAGAGCUUCUGUGCAGUGAAUGUUUUGAAAGGCUAAAUUCUUUUUUGCUUUGCUCUGAGGAUGAUGGAGAGUGAGAAGUAAACCCUGGUUCUCACAGCUGAGAUCAGUGCCUUAUCAGCCAUAAAAAAAAUCCUUCCCUUUGAAAAGAUUGCUAAGAAUUAUCCUCACCAUCAGCAGGAAUUUUGCUGUUGAGCUGAACAGCACUAAACACACCUAAACCAAACUUCAGCCAAGAACAGCUUUUAAAAUAUUUUAGGAAAGUCUUGUUUUUACAUAUGAGAUUAUAUAUUAUAUGGAGAAGAAAAAGAUACUGGAUCUAAAUG